GGGUUAGUAAAGGUUUCGACAGGGAUUUUGAAGCUGGAGAAGCUAUCCGCAGGACGGUGCGAUAAACCUCAAAUUAAAAUUAAACGCUGAAGAUAAUUUAGCAUUUGCUGCCUAAGGGCAGCUCGUGGACCUGAGUACACCUACAUACUUAGUAAUCCGCGUCAAAUCUUGUAGGAAACGACAUGGCAAGUGCCUCGAGGCUGUGGUCGUAUAAGGGGCUACAGAUCAUCUUUGGUUGCCUAUUACUGAAGGUGUGAUGGAACAGGAAUGCAGAAUUCCGAAAUAACAGGCUAUGAUAGUAGAAGGACAGGGGAUGAAUUUUUGGACGCGGGUUCGACUCCCGCCUAAUCCACUC
This 355-nucleotide transfer-messenger RNA is filed under the name Butyrivibrio sp. It matches the Rfam family "transfer-messenger RNA". Rfam says of the family: Bacterial tmRNA, also known as 10Sa RNA or SsrA, is named for its dual tRNA and mRNA-like properties. Its role is to liberate the mRNA from a stalled ribosome. Lineage: Bacteria; Bacillati; Bacillota; Clostridia; Lachnospirales; Lachnospiraceae. The record is from RNAcentral.